UAUCCUUAUGGCAGACCAUUGCAAUAGAAUUAGAAUCUAAAUACUCCCAAUUUUUACAAUUAACCUC
RNAcentral lists this transfer RNA (67 nucleotides) under Ornithoctonus aureotibialis. RNAcentral's name for it is "tRNA-Leu". Lineage: Eukaryota; Metazoa; Arthropoda; Arachnida; Araneae; Theraphosidae. The record is from RNAcentral.